GAAAUGUAUUGAGAUGUUCAAUGAAAUAGCAGAGAACAAAGAGGAUUACAACAAAUUUUAUGAAGCCUUCUCCAAACACAUCAAGUUGGGUAUCCAUGAAGAUGGUCAAAACAGAGCGAAGCUUGCCGAUUUGCUUAGGUACUACUCAACCAAGAGUGGUGAUGAGUUGACCAGCUUGAAGGACUACGUCACAAGAAUGAAAGAGGGCCAACAAUGUAUCUAUUACAUGACUGGUGAGAGCAAGAAAGCUGUUGAGAACUCUCCGUUUCUCGAGAAGCUCAAGAAGUAGGGCUAUGAAGUACU
This 303-nucleotide unclassified non-coding RNA is filed under the name Hevea brasiliensis (rubber tree). Lineage: Eukaryota; Viridiplantae; Streptophyta; Magnoliopsida; Malpighiales; Euphorbiaceae. The record is from RNAcentral.